UUUGGAAUUUCACAUUUGGAAGUAUUAUUAUGUACUUUUAGAAAGAUGCUCAACAGAUUUUUCAGAGGCUAAAUGACAUUUUCUUAAUUAGUUUUGAUGGCUUCAGCUAACCAAAUAUGUACUUCUGUAUUUUUUAAGCGAGGGUAUACAAUUCUAUUACCUGCUUCAAGACUGUAGGAACAUUCAAAUUUUUUAGCUUUUACCUGUUACUUCUUAAAGAAUCUUCUCAAUGUAACUCUUCUUUCAUCCUA
This 251-nucleotide long non-coding RNA is filed under the name Bos taurus (domestic cattle). Its description in RNAcentral is "long non-coding RNA NONBTAT025288". The record is from RNAcentral. Lineage: Eukaryota; Metazoa; Chordata; Mammalia; Artiodactyla; Bovidae.